CCAAAGUUACACAGCAAAACUUUACCUUAUAUCCAUUUUUACUAACACUAAUAACACAUGCAUUCUUAACCAUACUUUGAAUCAGAUGCUUCAUGAUUGGCUUGGUUAUUUUUUAGGAACCAAUCCCUGGAUGGCAUGCUCUGUCCAUGUAUAACGUGAUUUUUACGUUUCAGGUUUAUCUUGUCCGUUGACGCUAGCUCCAGGGUGUUCCUGCUUAUCUUAGCUAGCAACAGACAUCCUGACUCCAGCAUACUGCUUGUUAAGCCACUAUUAACAACUUAACCUUUCAUACAAUGCAGACCAAGAAAUGAGGUCUUACUUAUGUCAAGUUACUUAUGCCCAGCCAGGCCUACAGAAAAUUGCCUUAUAAGAGCAGCUAAGGGAAAUCCCCAUCUAUAAUCGGACUCCCCCACCAUAGGGAAUUAGGUACAGUGCUCCUGUCAGCUAAUUUCUAAGUUAUUGUUUGCAAAAGAACUCUAUAGAGUUUUCACGUCUCCAUGCCCCUGGAAUCACAGUUAAAGUCCCUCCUCCCAAAAAAUCUGAAACUGCACUCCUGAAGUUGGACCUUUUGACAUCUGGGAAAGUGUGGAAAGACAGUUUAAAUUUAACCUAAUCACAAGAUCUU
RNAcentral lists this long non-coding RNA (625 nucleotides) under Gopherus evgoodei (Goodes thornscrub tortoise). RNAcentral's name for it is "lncRNA (ENSGEVG00005012778.1)". The record is from RNAcentral. Lineage: Eukaryota; Metazoa; Chordata; Testudines; Testudinidae.